RNAcentral lists this non-coding RNA (20 nucleotides) under Arabidopsis thaliana (thale cress). Lineage: Eukaryota; Viridiplantae; Streptophyta; Magnoliopsida; Brassicales; Brassicaceae. The record is from RNAcentral.
GGGCUUUGGCAAUGGGUUAC